This 901-nucleotide ribosomal RNA is filed under the name uncultured bacterium. RNAcentral describes it as "bacterial SSU rRNA". It matches the Rfam family "Bacterial small subunit ribosomal RNA", at positions 8 to 888 of the family's 1533-position model. The record is from RNAcentral.
AGAGUUUGAUCAUGGCUCAGAACGAACGCUGGCGGCGUGGAUAAGACAUGCAAGUCGAACGGAUUUUCUGGUGUAGCAAUACAUCGGGGAGUUAGUGGCGCAAGGGUGAGUAACACGUGGGCAACCUGCCCGGAAAUGGGGGAUAGCCCGCCGAAAGGCGGAUUAAUACCGCAUAUGACAAGGGAUGGCAUCAUUCCGAAGUCAAAGUUGGUGAAAGCUAACGUUUCCGGAUGGGCCCGCGGCCUAUCAGCUAGUUGGCGGGGUAACGGCCCACCAAGGCAAUGACGGGUAGCUGGUCUGAGAGGACGACCAGCCACACUGGAACUGAGACACGGUCCAGACACCUACGGGUGGCAGCAGUCGAGAAUUUUUCUCAAUGGGCGAAAGCCUGAAGGAGCGACGCCGCGUGGAGGAUGAAGGUCUUCGGAUUGUAAACUCCUGUCAUGAGGGAGCAAGACACUGCGUUAACUGCGUGGGUGUUUGAUAGUACCUCAAGAGGAAGAGACGGCUAACUCUGUGCCAGCAGCCGCGGUAAUACAGAGGUCUCAAGCGUUGUUCGGAUUCAUUGGGCGUAAAGGGUGCGUAGGCGGCUAGGUAAGUCAGAUGUGAAAUUCCGGGGCUCAACCUCGGAACUGCAUUUGAUACUGCUUGGCUAGAGUACUGGAAAGGAGACUGGAAUUUACGGUGUAGCAGUGAAAUGCGUAGAUAUCGUAAGGAAGGCCAGUGGCGAAAGCGAGUCUCUGGACAGUAACUGACGCUGAUGCACGAAGGCUAGGGGAGCAAACGGGAUUAGAUACCCCGGUAGUCCUAGCAGUAAACGGUGCACGUUUGGUGUGGGAGGAAUCGACCCCUUCCGUGCCGGAGCUAACGCGUUAAACGUGCCGCCUGGGGAGUACGGUCG